This 508-nucleotide ribosomal RNA is filed under the name uncultured bacterium. Its description in RNAcentral is "bacterial SSU rRNA". It matches the Rfam family "Bacterial small subunit ribosomal RNA", at positions 791 to 1296 of the family's 1533-position model. The record is from RNAcentral.
UAGUCCACGCCGUAAACGAUGUCAACUAGCCGUUGGGAGCAAUUGAGCUCUUAGUGGCGCAGCUAACGCGAUAAGUUGACCGCCUGGGGAGUACGCCGGCAACGGUAAAACUCAAAUGAAUUGACGGGGGCCCGCACAAGCGGUGGAGCAUGUGGUUUAAUUCGAUGCAACGCGAAAAACCUUACCUACCCUUGACAUCCUCAGAACUUGUUAGAGAUAACUUGGUGCCUUCGGGAACUGAGUGACAGGUGCUGCAUGGCUGUCGUCAGCUCGUGUCGUGAGAUGUUGGGUUAAGUCCCGCAACGAGCGCAACCCUUGUCCCUAGUUGCCAGCACGUAAAGGUGGGAACUCUAGGGAGACUGCCGGUGACAAACCGGAGGAAGGUGGGGAUGACGUCAAGUCAGCAUGCCCCUUAUGUUCUGGGCUACACACGUGCUUCAAUGGCCGUGACAAAGAGUUGCUACUUUGUGAAAACAAGCUAAUCUCAUAAACGCGGACCUCAGUUCGG